UGGGGAAUAUUGGACAAUGGGCGCAAGCCUGAUCCAGCCAUGCCGCGUGAGUGAUGAAGGCCCUAGGGUUGUAAAGCUCUUUCACCGGUGAAGAUAAUGACGGUAACCGGAGAAGAAGCCCCGGCUAACUUCGUGCCAGCAGCCGCGGUAAUACGAAGGGGGCUAGCGUUGUUCGGACUUACUGGGCGUAAAGCGCACGUAGGCGGACUUUUAAGUCAGGGGUGAAAUCCAGGGGCUCAACCCCGGAACUGCCUUUGAUCCUGGAAGUCUUGAGUAUGGUAGGGGUGAGUUGAAUUCCGGGUGUAGAGGUGAAAUUCGUAGAUAUUCGGAGGAACACCAGGGGCGAAGGCGGCUCACUGGACCAUUACUGACGCUGAGGUGCGAAAGCGUGGGGAGCAAACAGG
This 404-nucleotide ribosomal RNA is filed under the name Actinomycetes bacterium. RNAcentral's name for it is "Actinobacteria bacterium partial 16S ribosomal RNA". It matches the Rfam family "Bacterial small subunit ribosomal RNA", at positions 355 to 776 of the family's 1533-position model. The record is from RNAcentral. Lineage: Bacteria; Bacillati; Actinomycetota; Actinomycetes.